CCUCCGGGUGGCUGCAGUGGGGGAUAUUGCACAAUGGGGGAAACCCUGAUGCAGCGACGCCGCGUGGGUGAAGGAGUGCUUCGGCAUGUAAAGCCCUAUCGGCAGGGAAGAAGCAAGAAGGUACCUGACUCAGAAGCACCGGCUAACUACGAGCCAGAAGCCGCGGUAAUCCGGAGGGGGCGAGCGUUAUACGGAUUCACUGGGUGGAAAGGGAGCGUAGACGGCCAGGCAAGCCAGGGGGGAAAGCCCGGGGCCCAACCCCGGGACUGCCCUUGGAACUGGGCGGCUAGAGGGCGGGAGGGGCAGGCGGAAUUCCUGGUGUAGCGGUGAAAUGCGUAGAUAUCAGGAGGAACACCGGCGGCGAAGGCGGCCUGCUGGACUGCGACUGACGUUGAGGCUCGAAAGCGUGGGGAGCGAACAGGAUUAGAUACCCCAGUAGUC
RNAcentral lists this ribosomal RNA (441 nucleotides) under uncultured bacterium. Its description in RNAcentral is "partial 16S ribosomal RNA". It matches the Rfam family "Bacterial small subunit ribosomal RNA", at positions 338 to 795 of the family's 1533-position model. The record is from RNAcentral.